UACGAAGGGGGCAAGCGUUGUUCGGAAUUACUGGGCGUAAAGGGCGCGUAGGCGGCUUAUCAAGUCAGGCGUGAAAUUCCCGGGCUCAACCUGGGGGCUGCGCUUGAUACUGAUUGGCUUGAAUGCGGGAGAGGAUAGUGGAAUUCCCAGUGUAGAGGUGAAAUUCGUAGAUAUUGGGAAGAACACCGGUGGCGAAGGCGGCUCACUGGCCCGAUACUGACGCUGAGGUGCGAAAGCGUGGGGAGCAAACAGG
This 253-nucleotide ribosomal RNA is filed under the name uncultured bacterium. RNAcentral describes it as "partial 16S ribosomal RNA". It matches the Rfam family "Bacterial small subunit ribosomal RNA", at positions 524 to 776 of the family's 1533-position model. The record is from RNAcentral.